Non-coding RNA from Pelodiscus sinensis (Chinese soft-shelled turtle), 5248 nucleotides. The record is from RefSeq and is a predicted model, not a curated record. Lineage: Eukaryota; Metazoa; Chordata; Testudines; Trionychidae.
UGCUGGCCUCUCAUUGCAUCUCUCCACUCCCACCUUGCCAGCUAUCAGUCACCAUCCACCUCUCAGCUGUGACUUCUGCCCAUCAGUCUCAAAUGAUUUCGACUCCUAGUGAUUUCAAUCUUAGCAAACAGGGAAAGGAGAGGGAAUUCCAGAAGAUGAUUGAAGAACCAGGAAAAGAAAGUAUUUUGCUGGAGCUGUACUGAAUGGGCUGAAAUGUGGAGAGCCAGAAAAGUAACCCCAGAGGGAGGACUCCAGUUACUGCAACAACAACAACAAAAAAGCUACUCGCACAUUCCAAGACCAAGUUUAUCAUCAUCUCAUCAGGGAGGAUGGCAUGGGAGGUGUCAACCUCUCCCCUCUUGCAGCUGGUCCAGCUGUGGAGAACAAAGAGGAUGGCAAUUGUCCCUGGAGACAUUGUGCAUGAAGCCUAGCCCUCAUCUCUGAGCCAAGACCUAAAGUUCUCAGGGAAAGCGCCAGGCAGUGGGAUCCAGCGGCACAGCCCGGGUCACGGACUGCACUUCUGCUUGAAGCCUGCCUAGCAGACAUGGUGUCACCGGUCACAGUGGUGAAGAGUGAAGGCCCCAAGCUGGUGCCCUUUUUUAAAGCCACUUGUGUCUAUUUUGUCCUCUGGCUGCCAACUUCCAGCCCUUCCUGGUUCAGUGCCCUCAUCAAGUGUCUGCCCAUCUUCUGCUUAUGGGUUUUUCUGCUGGCUCAUGGAAUCAAUUUCUUAGUCGCACAUCGGAGCGCCAGUAGGAUCUUAGCAGGGUUAAUAUUCUCCGCAGUGGGGGAUGCCUUCCUCAUCUGGCAGGAGCAAGGCUACUUUGUUCAUGGUCUGCUGAUGUUUGCUAUCACACACAUCCUGUAUUCCUCAGCAUUUGGGAUGAAGCCUUUGGACCUGAAAGCCGGCUUGGUGAUGACCCUUGUCUCCAGCUUCUGCUACACCUUUCUGUACGCCUACCUCUCAGGCCCAUUCACCUACCUGGUAGCUGUCUACAUUGCUUUGAUCGGCUUCAUGGGGUGGCGCGCCAUUGCUGGCGUACAGCUGUGCAACGACCUCUGGACUUGGACCAAGCUUUCGGCCUGUAUCGGCGCAGUGCUUUUCAUGGUGUCCGAUCUGACCAUUGCAGUUAACAAGUUCUGCUUUCCAGUGCCCUACUCACGCGCCAUUAUCAUGGCCACUUACUAUGCAGCCCAGAUGCUCAUUGCACUCUCUGCCGUGGAGAGCAGGGAUGAAGACGACUUCAGAAAGAGGAAUUAGAUGGAAUGCCAGCAGCCUUGUGAACUGCGCGGAUUAUAACUGGGGUGCUGUAGCAGCAUUAGUCGCUGAGGGGGAUUCUCCGUCUCUCAAGGUGCAUUGGUGAUAGAGAUUUUGCUUCGUUGAAGCAUUCUUUGUUUUUGUUUUUAAAUCUGACUCUCCUUGAAUGUAGUUUACGUCAGUGUGGAGACCACAUUGGAAAAUUUAGACUGAACCUACAGUAGCUUUGACCUUUUCCUCUUGGAAGCUUCAGGAGUCCUCUCUAAUGCCACAUUGUAUUUUUUAAUCCUGAAGCUGGCUCUGAAUGUUAUGGAAGGAGAAGGCUAAUUUAAAGAGACUAAAUAGGCUCAGAGGCUUGCCUUCUACCCUGGACACCCCUGUCCACAUCCCAGCUAAGGCUGACAGGGAGGGGACAGUGAGUUUAGGUGGUGAUUACACUAGACCCCAUUUACGGACAUUACAAAGCCACUACACAGGGCGAAGCAGUCAACAGCCUCUGCUCAAAGAAAGACAAUGAGUAGCAUGCCAAGAGGAUAGGUCAUGCAGGUGAGGGCUAAGGGACAUUAGUAAGAAUUUGGUGGCAUGAAAAACUUGUACUGUAUCUGGUUCUUCUAACCAGGGCUUUUUUUUGUGAAUUCCAAAAUUCAUGCAACUUCCUAUUUAAAUGUCCCAUGUGAAUGCUGCCAAGUAGGUACAAUAGUAGGCGACACACUUGCAGCAGCAACAAUAGAAUGUAAUAACCUUCUGAAACAGUCGAGAAAAUGGAAAAUGAAAGGCAUUCUCUACACAGGAUGGCUUAUGAGGAAAAGAAAUAUGCCUGUAAGUUAAAGCUAAUGAGCAGGUUUCGCAUGCAACUUUCAGCAUUUGCUAUCUUGGCCUAAGGUACUCACGUGGCGGUGUGCUAAGACAGAUGAUGGAACAAUGGGUCUGUCUUUCAACAUCAGACCUCACCCCCUUGUCACCGGUAGCUUCUCUGCUGAAUUAAUGAGCCUCCUGUGUUUUAUCUGUAGGUGCUGAGAGCUCUUGAAUCAGUGACAAUGCUGGGGCCAACCCCAAGGGAUGCCAAACCAAAAGCAAAGUAUUAAAACACAAAGCAUCUAUAGCAAUGCACACUGGGAUAUGGCAUUCUGUGACCACUGUGAAAUUACUCCAGACCCAAGUUCAUAGAUGACUCAUUAGUGUUAAUAGGCAAUUGUUAUUACUGUGAGCAUGGCAUAUUUUCAGGGAAACCUAUUUAUUCAGUAAGGCCAGUAAGCUUCUCUAUAUUGGCGUAUGUCUACAUACUUGACUCUAUACAUACAUGUACAGUAGUAUGUCAUCUGUAGCCACCAUAGGCAACCUGAGCCAGGAUAUGCUGUGUUUUACACCACUGCUUUGGAGAGAUGAUUCCUUAGUGGAAUGAAGUUUAUUUUUCUGGGUUCACAUUCUGUCCGCAUUCUGGGAAGUGGGAGACUGGAAUCUGACACUUUAAGCAUUUAUUGCUCAGCAUUUUCAGCUGCAAAUAAGGGAGAAUACUCCAAUAAUGUUUAAUACACCUCUUGCACCGGGUACCGAUUUCGUCUGUUUGCAGGGCUGUGAUGCGGAUGAUGAUAGCAAAGGGUUCAGUAGGGGUUUAAUAGUCACUUUGACAGUCAGGAGUUACGGUCAUCUGAGACAAGACACCGAAAAGGUACUGCUCCUGUUGUGCGCUGGAGGACUCUGAGGGAGUUGAAGGAUGCCUGGGGUGUCCCAGGCCCAGGCUGUUACAGAGCAUCACCUUGCUCUCCCUUCUGUGUUCCUCUCCACAUCUCUUUAAACCACAGCACGUGAACACAACCCUUUUCCAAGCAAGCAAAAGUCUCUCAGGGACGAAGCCAGCUGCUAUGGCGGAGUUUCAUCUUGAAAUACAGGUUCCACAGCAACACUGUGCUACUUCAGUUUAACUCCAGUGUAACAUCUGUUGGUCGACCAGAUUUUCAGCUAGUGUAAAUUGUUGAAGUUUUGUCCAACAGAGCUGCGCCACUGAGCUCCAGCUGAGGAGGUCCAGCUGAGGAUUUGGUCCCGUAGCUUUGCCACAUUUGAUGCAGUAAAAUAGCCAGCUUGGCUUCAUUAAUAUCAACCAUCCUAUUUUAAUCACCCCUGGGACAACUUUUUUUUUUUUUUUUUGGUACAAUGCAGCCCCAAUUUGCAGUGAUCUUUUGUAGACUUAAAGCAUGCAGAUCCCAUUUAAUUCCAGAGGACUACACAGAUGCUUUAAAAGUUAAGCACAUAUAGAACGCUGCAGGAUAAAGGCCCUACAGUCUCCCAACAUAACCCAAGUGAAAAGUCCCGCCAGUUUGUGAAAAAUAACACAAAGCUCUUCUUCAAAUCUCUUUAUAAGCAAAAGAAAUCCUAUUAGUACCCCCAACAUCUUCCCUCCACUGUCACGCAGGAAUAUUGCUGCAUUAUUUCUAAAGUAGCUGUCAGACCCUUUAGCAUCAGGAGAAGGCACCAGGACUUUUCAUUUGCAAACUAUUUGUUUUAAAUAUUUCCUGCCUUGCUGGGAUAGUAUGUCCCAUUUUAGCCAAGUUCCCCUCUCCCUCACUAGCACACUCCAGGUGACAUAUGGAAUGUAAAAUACUCUACAUCUGCAGUGAAAGUUGGAGCACAUGACUAGUCAGCAGUGUGAUUAUCUCGCAACAGUUUCCUGGAAAGAUUAAUGCUAAACUGGAAGAAUAGGCACAAAAUCAAUUCAGGCAGUGUAUAGGUAAUAUAAUUCUUAAUCUGGCUUUAACCAUACCACCAGAAGCAGCAGGUAGCUUCAUAUAAUGAGAUUAACAUGCCAGUGACUGAACCCAUCAUGUUUAUUAAUUUUUAGGGCUUGAUCACACGCACACAGAAGCCUACACAUGAAUCGUUUCAUUGAAAUCUGUGGGGCUCUUCCCACAAAUAGAGUUAUACAUGGAUUAUGCUAGUUACAGAAACAGGCCUUCAGAUAAUAAUCUUUCAUUGAGUCCCAUUUAUCAGCUCAAGAGUGAUAAUGGAGCGAAAUGAAGCCUUUCCACCAUUUUCUAUCGUGUGUCAGCUUCACGGCUGCGUUAAUCUUUAAACCUUUGUGUUGUGCCUCAAUAAAUAUUGUUUGUUUAAUGCUACCUAACAAAAAGGUUAGAUAGUAAUAAACAAACAAUUUCAUAUGCUAGAUCUACACAGCAGCAUUAUUUCCAAAAUCACGUAGUGAGCGUCUACACAACAAGCUGCCUGAGGCUAUCUGAUGUGUGUGCAUAAAGGGACCCCCCUGUACAGUCGUGUCGGGCGCCUCUCUUUUGCCUGCCUCCCUGAGGGACAGCAAAGCUGUUCCACUGCCUGCUCUGGUUGCCCUUGCAGACACCACAGCACGUCUGCCAUGGAGCCAGAGCUCUCCUGGCACAGAAGAAUCUGGACCUGCAGCUCCCUGCAGGGCACCUCCUUUCCUCUCCCCAGGUGCUGCUCAUGCAGCAGUUCCUCCAGCCCGCCCCUGCACACUGUACGCCACCAAUUCUGGCGACUGGAUACCAGUUCUGACUGGUGGGACCAGAUUGUCAUGGCCCGGUGGCUCCCGAACUUCCGCAUGCAGCAGGCCACCUUCUUGGAGCAUCGAGGGAGGGAGGAGGCAGGGCAUGCUGCACCACCCCACGUAGCCCAGCCUCCUCUUUCCCCCGGUGCUCAAGAGGGUGGGCUGGGCUUGGCUGGGUCACGCUGGGCACCUUCCAUCGGGGCUGGAGAGGCUGCAGCAAGCACGCACCCGCUCUCCUGCCUGUGGUUGGAAGGGGGGAGCACAUGCAUUGCACACCACCCUGCCUCACAGGGAUGGGGAAAGGGCGGGGCCUAGCAGAAGGGGCAGGGCUGGAGGUGGGGUUAGGGGCUUGCCUCCCCCAGCCCUGCCUUCAUCAACCAUCUAUGACAGGACACUCACAUGCGACCUGCCAUCCCACUCCAGAAGUGGGUCACCAUUGCACUGUGGAAGCUCGCCAUGCCGGACAGCUACCGCUCCAUCAG